UACGUAGGUGGCAAGCGUUGUCCGGAUUUACUGGGCGUAAAGAGCGUGUAGGCGGCCAGGUAGGUCUGCUGUGAAAACUCGAGGCUCAACCUCGAGACGCCGAUGGAAACCAUCUGACUAGAGUCCGGAAGAGGAGAGUGGAAUUCCUGGUGUAGCGGUGAAAUGCGCAGAUAUCAGGAAGAACACCCGUGGCUAAGGCGGCUCUCUAGUACGUGACUGACGCUGAGACGCGAAAGCGUGGGGAGCGAACAGG
Molecule: ribosomal RNA, 253 nt
Filed under: uncultured bacterium
Lineage: Bacteria
Description: partial 16S ribosomal RNA
Rfam family: Bacterial small subunit ribosomal RNA
Source: RNAcentral